UAAUUUACUGCAUUUUGAAAUUACAGUAAUGCAUGUGGCCUGGUUGCCCUUGCCUGUCAAGAGCUCGUUGAUGCAAGUGAAGCAAAUAACAAAGAAGGGUGCCUUGUAGCUCUUGAAAAUGUCAACCGUGAAUAUCUUGUCGCCAAGGAGAAUUUGAAUCGCAUUGUUGGGAUGGAACGUGAAAUUUAUGACAUGAGGCUGUGCCGAAAGCAACCUGAGUAGAGAGAGUUCUUAUUAUAUAAGAAUCAUCGACUCCAAAAAAUCGUGAUGUUUUCAAUCAUGUUGGCCAUGUAAUAAGUUUAUUACUUCUAUGUUAUAGACUUAUUUAUAACUUGUUUUAGGACAAGGUUUUGGUAUUUGGAACUUUUGAAUAAGUUCACUAUAAAGUGAACAUUAUGUGUUUAAGACUUGAUUUUCUAUCCA
This is a non-coding RNA of Prunus avium (sweet cherry), 423 nucleotides long. The record is from RefSeq and is a predicted model, not a curated record. Lineage: Eukaryota; Viridiplantae; Streptophyta; Magnoliopsida; Rosales; Rosaceae.